UACAGAGGUCCCAAGCGUUGUUCGGAUUCACUGGGCGUAAAGGGUGCGUAGGUGGUCAGGUAAGUCGGAUGUGAAAUCUCCGAGCUCAACUCGGAAACUGCAUUGGAAACUACCUGGCUCGAGGGUUGGAGGGGGGACUGGAAUGCUUGGUGUAGCAGUGAAAUGCGUAGAUAUCAAGCGGAACACCAGUGGCGAAGGCGGCCCGCUGGGCAGUGGCUGACGCUGAGGCGCGAAAGCGUGGGGAGCAAACAGG
This 253-nucleotide ribosomal RNA is filed under the name uncultured bacterium. RNAcentral's name for it is "partial 16S ribosomal RNA". It matches the Rfam family "Bacterial small subunit ribosomal RNA", at positions 524 to 776 of the family's 1533-position model. The record is from RNAcentral.